CCGAGCGUUAUCCNGNAUUUAUNGGGUUNAAAGGGGUGCGUAGGCGGCCUUUUAAGUCAGCGGUGAAAGUCUGUGGCUCAACCCAUAGAAUUGCCGUUGAAACUGGGGGGCUUGAGUAUGUUUGAGGCAGGCGGAAUGCGUGGUGUAGCGGUGAAAUGCUUAGAUAUCACGCAGAACCCCGAUUGCGAAGGCAGCCUGCCAAGCCAUGACUGACGCUGAUGCACGAAAGCGUGGGGAUCAAACAGGAUUAGAUACCCUGGUAGUCCACGCAGUAAACGAUGAUCACUAGCUGUUUGCGAUACAGUGUAAGCGGCACAGCGAAAGCGUUAAGUGAUCCACCUGGGGAGUACGCCGGCAACGGUGAAACUCAAAGGAAUUGACGGGGGCCCGCACAAGCGGAGGAACAUGUGGUUUAAUUCGAUGAUACGCGAGGAACCUUACCCGGGUUUGAACGCAUUCGGACCGAGGUGGAAACACCUUUUCUAGCAAUAGCCGUUUGCGAGGUGCUGCAUGGUUGUCGUCAGCUCGUGCCGUGAGGUGUCGGCUUAAGUGCCAUAACGAGCGCAACCCUUGCCACUAGUUACUAACAGGUAAAGCUGAGGACUCUGGUGGGACUGCCAGCGUAAGCUGCGAGGAAGGCAGGGAUGACGUCAAAUCAGCACGGCCCUUACAUCCGGGGCGACACACGUGUUACAAUGGCGUGGACAAAGGGAAGCCACCUGGCGACAGGGAGCGAAUCCCCAAACCACGUCUCAGUUCGGAUCGGAGUCUGCAACCCGACUCCGUGAAGCUGGAUUCGCUAGUAAUCGCGCAUCAGCCAUGGCGCGGUGAAUACGUUCCCGGGCCUUGUACACACCGCCCGUCAAGCCAUGGGAGCCGGGGGUACCUGAAGUCCGUAACCGAAAGGAUCGGCCUAGGGUAAAACUGGUGACUGGGGCUAAGUCGUAACAAGGUAGCAAUCACUAGUGAAUUCGCGGCCGCCUGCAGGUCGACCAUAUGGGAGAGCUCCCANNG
RNAcentral lists this ribosomal RNA (1014 nucleotides) under uncultured Parabacteroides sp. Its description in RNAcentral is "bacterial SSU rRNA". It matches the Rfam family "Bacterial small subunit ribosomal RNA", at positions 534 to 1533 of the family's 1533-position model. The record is from RNAcentral. Lineage: Bacteria; Pseudomonadati; Bacteroidota; Bacteroidia; Bacteroidales; Tannerellaceae.